Molecule: long non-coding RNA, 544 nt
Organism: Chiroxiphia lanceolata (lance-tailed manakin)
Lineage: Eukaryota; Metazoa; Chordata; Aves; Passeriformes; Pipridae
Exons: 2
Source: RefSeq, a predicted model, not a curated record
AUGUGGAGAGGUAGGGAAAUUUUGGAGGUUAAAUCUGGGGCAACCUGUAGCAGAGAGAAUGAAAAUGUUGUGUUAAAACAGAGGUAAUCAGGAGUGGGCUGGAAGGGAAGGUUGUGGGGGUGAGACAGGAGAGAGUUUCCAUGACAGAGAAUGACUGUUUGGAGGUGAAACUGAGGGAAUCAGCAGUGGACAGGGAGGGAAAAAUGUGGGGUAAACUCUGGGGCAGCAUGUAGCAGAGAGAAGGAAGAUUUUGGGUUCAAUUGAGGCAGUCAGGAGUGGGCAGGUAAGGAAAGUUCUGGGGGUAAAACUUGAGAAAACCUCCAGGGUAGAAAACGAGCCUUUGGAGGUAAAAAAGAGGUUCCUGAGUGGUGUGCAGGUGGAGAAAACUGUGGGGGUUAAAUGUGAGGUGAUCUGUGGGGGAGAGAAGGAAGAUCUUGUGUUAAAAACGAGGUGAGCAGUUGUGGGCUGGAAGGGCAGGUUUUGGGGCUUCAAAAGGAGGUUGAUUCUCUGCGGGGAGGGAAUGAAGCAAAGGAAAUAAAAUAAA